RNAcentral lists this long non-coding RNA (211 nucleotides) under Zostera marina. RNAcentral describes it as "long non-coding RNA (ZMAR_LNC002251)". The record is from RNAcentral. Lineage: Eukaryota; Viridiplantae; Streptophyta; Magnoliopsida; Alismatales; Zosteraceae.
CCACCAUUAUCACCAUAUCCUUCUCCAGUGCCUGAACCUGAACCGUAUCCUUCUCCAGUUAAAAGUCUGACAGCGGAAGUCAUGCUCAGAAAGAGCAUGAUUGUCAAACUAAGGACCAAAAAAAUAGAUUUGGCCAUAUUUGAUUUCUCAAAUGAAUGAUGAUUUUAUUAUCUUGAAUGAAUGAUGAUAUGAGUUGAUAAGAACACUAUAU